CCUACGGGUGGCAGCAGUGAGGAAUAUUGGUCAAUGGGCGCAAGCCUGAACCAGCCAUGCCGCGUGAAGGAUGACUGCUCUACGGGUUGUAAACUUCUUUUAUACAAGAGUAAAGUGAGGCACGUGUGUCUUUCUGUAUGUACUUUACGAAUAAGGAUCGGCUAACUCCGUGCCAGCAGCCGCGGUAAUACGGAGGAUCCGAGCGUUAUCCGGAUUUAUUGGGUUUAAAGGGUGCGUAGAUGGGUUGUUAAGUCAGUGGUGAAAGUUUGCGGCUCAACUGUAGAAUUGCAAUUGAUACUGGCGGUCGUGAGUACAGUUGAGGUAGGCGGAAUGCGUGGUGUAGCGGUGAAAUGCUUAGAGAUCACGAAGAACUCCGAUUGCGAAGGCAGCUUACUAAACUGCAACUGACGUUGAUGCACGAAAGUGUGGGUAGCAAACAGGAUUAGAUACCCGAGUAGUC
This 460-nucleotide ribosomal RNA is filed under the name uncultured bacterium. RNAcentral's name for it is "partial 16S ribosomal RNA". It matches the Rfam family "Bacterial small subunit ribosomal RNA", at positions 338 to 795 of the family's 1533-position model. The record is from RNAcentral.